Molecule: long non-coding RNA, 504 nt
Filed under: Struthio camelus australis
Lineage: Eukaryota; Metazoa; Chordata; Aves; Struthioniformes; Struthionidae
Description: lncRNA (ENSSCUG00000008180.1)
Source: RNAcentral
CGUGACUUUUUAGACGUCAGACAGCAAGGAGGGGAGAAACUCCUUCGGAGUUAGCUAAGGAGCUAACUCCUUUAGCUACCCCAGGCAGCUAAAUGACUAGUGAACCUCAAGUCUACUGAUCAGUCUGGCACCCUUGAGCGCAACAGCCUGUGGGCACUUCUGGAAAUCAUCAUCUGUAUUUUUAGCUCCUGCAGGCUGUGAUUUUCCUUACACUUGAUCCAUAAAACGAAAUCGUUGGCACAGAUUCACCAGCUAGGAAAGACCUGAGGAGGUGAGAAAAAGAGAGCUGAUGAAUGGCACCAGCAAGGGGAGAUAAAGGGAAGAAAUGAAUGACAUGACAAAGGAAUCUCUUCUGGACAUGUUUUUAAAGCUGUAACCUCGAUGCCUUUACUUCAUCUAAUCUGAUGACAUUCAAAGCAUCUUACUUGGCUUGAGAAAGACACGUGGGGUUAGACAAGAGGUAGUUAGCAAACUAACAGCAAAGUGACCCGGAUUGCUUGAUAA